CGAGCGAACAGACGAGGAGCUUGCUCCUUUGACGUUAGCGGCGGACGGGUGAGUAACACUUAUGUAACCUACCUAUAAGACUGGGAUAACUUCGGGAAACCGGAACUAAUACCGGAUAAUAUUUCGAACCGCAUGGUUCGAUAGUGAAAGAUGGCUUUGCUAUCACUUAUAGAUGGACCUGCGCCGNAUUAGCUAGUUGGUAAGGGAACGGCUUACCAAGGCAACGAUACGUAGCCGACCUGAGAGGGUGAUCGGCCACACUGGAACUGAGACACGGNCCAGACUCCUACGGGAGGCAGCAGUAGGGAAUCUUCCGCAAUGGGCGAAAGCCUGACGGAGCAACGCCGCGUGAGUGAUGAAGGUCUUCGGAUCGUAAAACUCUGUUAUUAGGGAAGAACAAACGUGUAAGUAACUGUGCACGUCUUGACGGGACCUAAUCAGAAAGCCACGGCUAACUACGUGCCAGCAGCCGCGGAAAUACGUAGGUGGCAAGCGUUAUCCGGAAGAUAUGGGCGCAAAGCGCGCGUAGGCGGUUUUUUAGUCUGAUGUGAAAGCCCACGGCUCAACCGUGGAGGGUCAUUGGAAACUGGAAAACUUGAGUGCAGAAGAGGAAAGUGGAAUUCCAUGUGUAGCGGUGAAAUGCGCAGAGAUAUGGAGGAACACCAGUGGCGAAGGCGACUUUCUGGUCUGUAACUGACGCUGAUGUGCGAAAGCGUGGGGAUCAAACAGGAUUAGAUACCCUGGUAGUCCACGCCGUAAACGAUGAGUGCUAAGUGUUAGGGGGUUUCCGCCCCUUAGUGCUGCAGCUAACGCAUUAAGCACUCCGCCUGGGGAGUACGACCGCAAGGUUGAAACUCAAAGGAAUUGACGGGGACCCGCACAAGCGGUGGAGCAUGUGGUUUAAUUCGAAGCAACGCGAAGAACCUUACCAAAUCUUGACAUCCUUUGACCCUUCUAGAGAUAGAAGUUUCCCCUUCGGGGGACAAAGUGACAGGUGGUGCAUGGUUGUCGUCAGCUCGUGUCGUGAGAUGUUGGGUUAAGUCCCGCAACGAGCGCAACCCUUAAGCUUAGUUGCCAUCAUUAAGUUGGGCACUCUAAGUUGACUGCCGGUGACAAACCGGAGGAAGGUGGGGAUGACGUCAAAUCAUCAUGCCCCUUAUGAUUUGGGCUACACACGUGCUACAAUGGACAAUACAAAGGGCAGCGAAACCGCGAGGUCAAGCAAAUCCCAUAAAGUUGUUCUCAGUUCGGAUUGUAGUCUGCAACUCGACUACAUGAAGCUGGAAUCGCUAGUAAUCGUAGAUCAGCAUGCUACGGUGAAUACGUUCCCGGGUCU
This 1336-nucleotide ribosomal RNA is filed under the name uncultured bacterium. RNAcentral's name for it is "bacterial SSU rRNA". It matches the Rfam family "Bacterial small subunit ribosomal RNA", at positions 63 to 1381 of the family's 1533-position model. The record is from RNAcentral.